Canis lupus familiaris (dog) is the source of this 1734-nucleotide long non-coding RNA. RefSeq lists it as uncharacterized. The record is from RefSeq and is a predicted model, not a curated record. NCBI's taxonomy places the organism in Eukaryota, Metazoa, Chordata, Mammalia, Carnivora, Canidae. The transcript has 4 exons.
AACAUGAGACUUGAGCUCACAACCACAAGAUCAAGAUUCACAGGCUCUACUGACUGAGCCAUUUUGACAUUUUUAAGGAAAAUUAUGAAACUUAAAUCUUCUGGAGUGUAGCAGCAACAAAAGAAGAAAUAAGUGAAAUUGUAGGAAGUGCUGAUUUUCAGAAAAUGAUCUCUUAACUGAGAGAAAUAUUAGUCCAUAAAAAUUUCCCAUAAGGCAUAUGUGGGAAACUGAUGGAAAUCCUUCCAAUCCAGGAUUCAGAUACGUUGGAGUUUUUGUGUUAUUUGGAGGCCCAUUUCCCACCUUUAUCAUAUUUAAAAUGGACAUUGGAAAGUUUGUCCUUUCUAGUGAUGGUGUUACAUUUGCAGCCUAGUCUCAGCUGGCAGAAAUUUGAGGGUCUGGAAAUUGUUCUGGAUUUGAGCAAUCAAAGACCUGGGUGUUUAGCCAGAUCUCACUGAAGGCGAGAAGAUUCAUCCAACAGUUUGACAGCCUGAUUUUUUUUUUCUCAGUCACCCUAUAUUUCACCCUUUAGGAAAUGAUGAGCUUCCUGAAUGGCAGAAGCCAAGCAGCAAUACUUUCUGCCCAGAGAAAAGACAUACACGAGGACCUGGACUAGAUAUCAGCCAGAUAGCAAUUUCCUAGCCUCUAUAUCAGUGCUUAAUUCAUACAUCCAUGUGCAAAGUAGCAUAGAAGUUCUUCAAACACCUCGACAAUAAGGACCUUCUUUUACCAAAGCUGUUCGACUACCUUCCUUGCCGAGUGCACAGGAGCCAAUAGCAGAGGCCAAACUUAGACCCUGAUUGGCACUGUUCCUUGGAGAGAUCAGACAGUCACCUGGUAUCAGAUUGAUUGUUUUGGACUUUUCCCAGCUUGAGACACUAAAUGAUUUUGUCUUCACUGGAACUUAAACUUAUUCUGUAUAAUGGAUUUGCUUUUCCCGCUCCAAUGCCUCUUCUAGCACCAACAUCAGGAGACUUUUAGAGUGACCUUUUCACUAUCAAGAGAUUGUUUCUGACCAAAGAUCGUACUACAAAGCAAAAGGACAGUGAUAGGCCGUAUAAUUAAUAAAUCUCACCAUAUACUUAUUGACUCAAAAUCAGCUGCUUUGACAGAAACAUAGAAUUUCUUCCUGAAGUAUUAGAUGCAUACAAGCUAAGAGACAAUAAUCUGAAAUUCGGGGUGUUUUCCUAUACCAUGCAGUAUUGGAUUUUGCUAGGCAUUGUAUGAUACUGUUUUACCCUUAAUCCAUUAAUUAAAAAGAGAAAUGAACCAUGCACUAUUUUUCCCUCAGGCACAGAACUUUGGGAUUUUUUGGUUGAGAAUUCUCAUUUCCAUAAUGAAUACUAUUUUAACCAGAAGACAUAAUUCUUUCAUUGAAAUGGAAGUUACACUUGCUACCUGGUCACUGUGGGGUCCUUAUUCCAUUGAAACAACAGACAGAUAAUGGGUUACUAUGAUUUGUGCAGUGAUAGAUUCUAAUUACCAAGGAGAAAUUGGGUUGCCACUCUAUAGUGGAAGAAGGCAGAAUUAUAUCUGGAACAAUGAAGUCAAUGAAGACUUGGCUCAUCCUUACUAGGUAAACACCAUACUAGCUGAGACCCUGGCUGGGGCCAAAGUAAACAUGGAAUGAGUAGCAGAUAUAAGAAGUCACUCAUGAGUGAGUUCUGGAACAUAGUAUAUGUGUGUGUAUACUUUUAACUAAUUUUUAUCUUUUUUUUAAUAUAAGGAGUAAUAAGA